RNAcentral lists this ribosomal RNA (800 nucleotides) under uncultured bacterium. RNAcentral describes it as "bacterial SSU rRNA". It matches the Rfam family "Bacterial small subunit ribosomal RNA", at positions 8 to 803 of the family's 1533-position model. The record is from RNAcentral.
AGAGUUUGAUCAUGGCUCAGAUUGAACGCUGGCGGCAGGCCUAACACAUGCAAGUCGAGCGGAUGAGAAGAGCUUGCUCUUCGAUUCAGCGGCGGACGGGUGAGUAAUGCCUAGGAAUCUGCCUGGUAGUGGGGGACAACGUUUCGAAAGGAACGCUAAUACCGCAUACGUCCUACGGGAGAAAGCAGGGGACCUUCGGGCCUUGCGCUAUCAGAUGAGCCUAGGUCGGAUUAGCUAGUUGGUGAGGUAAUGGCUCACCAAGGCGACGAUCCGUAACUGGUCUGAGAGGAUGAUCAGUCACACUGGAACUGAGACACGGUCCAGACUCCUACGGGAGGCAGCAGUGGGGAAUAUUGGACAAUGGGCGAAAGCCUGAUCCAGCCAUGCCGCGUGUGUGAAGAAGGUCUUCGGAUUGUAAAGCACUUUAAGUUGGGAGGAAGGGCAUUAACCUAAUACGUUAGUGUUUUGACGUUACCGACAGAAUAAGCACCGGCUAACUCUGUGCCAGCAGCCGCGGUAAUACAGAGGGUGCAAGCGUUAAUCGGAAUUACUGGGCGUAAAGCGCGCGUAGGUGGUUUGUUAAGUUGGAUGUGAAAGCCCCGGGCUCAACCUGGGAACUGCACCCAAAACUGGCAAGCUAGAGUACGGUAGAGGGUGGUGGAAUUUCCUGUGUAGCGGUGAAAUGCGUAGAUAUAGGAAGGAACACCAGUGGCGAAGGCGACCACCUGGACUGAUACUGACACUGAGGUGCGAAAGCGUGGGGAGCAAACAGGAUCAGAUACCCUGGUAGUCCACGCCGU